RNAcentral lists this ribosomal RNA (253 nucleotides) under uncultured bacterium. RNAcentral's name for it is "partial 16S ribosomal RNA". It matches the Rfam family "Bacterial small subunit ribosomal RNA", at positions 524 to 776 of the family's 1533-position model. The record is from RNAcentral.
UACGUAGGGUGCGAGCGUUAAUCGGAAUUACUGGGCGUAAAGCGUGCGCAGGCGGUGAUGUAAGACCGAUGUGAAAUCCCCGGGCUUAACCUGGGAACUGCAUUGGUGACUGCAAGGCUGGAGUACGGCAGAGGGAGGUGGAAUUCCACGUGUAGCAGUGAAAUGCGUAGAGAUGUGGAGGAACACCGAUGGCGAAGGCAGCCUCCUGGGCUAGUACUGACGCUCAUGCACGAAAGCGUGGGGAGCAAACAGG